GACGAACGCUGGCGGCGUGCUUAACACAUGCAAGUCGAACGGAAAGGCCCUGCUUUUGUGGGGUGCUCGAGUGGCGAACGGGUGAGUAACACGUGAGUAACCUGCCCUUGACUUUGGGAUAACUUCAGGAAACUGGGGCUAAUACCGGAUAGGAGCUCCUGCUGCAUGGUGGGGGUUGGAAAGUUUCGGCGGGUGGGGAUGGACUCGCGGCUUAUCAGCUUGUUGGUGGGGUAGUGGCUUACCAAGGCUUUGACGGGUAGCCGGCCUGAGAGGGUGAACGGCGACAAUGGGACUGAGAGAGGGACCAGACUCCUACGGGAGGCAACAGUGGGGAAUCUUGCACAGUGGGAGGAAGCCUGAUGAAGAGACGCUGCGUGCGGGAUGACGGCCUUCGGGUUGUAAACCGCUUUCGCCUAUGACGAAGCGUGAGUGACGGUAAUGGGUAAAGAAGCACCGGCUAACUACGUG
RNAcentral lists this ribosomal RNA (468 nucleotides) under uncultured bacterium. RNAcentral's name for it is "partial 16S ribosomal RNA". It matches the Rfam family "Bacterial small subunit ribosomal RNA", at positions 28 to 507 of the family's 1533-position model. The record is from RNAcentral.